AGCAGCCGCGGUAAUUCCAGCUCCAAUAGCGUAUAUUAAAGUUGUUGCAGUUAAAAAGCUCGUAGUUGAAUUUCGGGGUUAGUAGGUUGGUCAUGCCUCUGGUAUGUACUGGUCUCGCUGAUUCCUCCUUCCUGAUGAGCCGUAAUGCCAUUAAUUUGGUGUUUUGGGGAAUUUGGACUGUUACUUUGAAAAAGUUAGAGUGUUUAAAGCAGGCUCACGCUUGAAUACAUUAGCAUGGAAUAAUGAAAUAGGACGUUUGAUUCUAUUUUGUUGGUUUCUAGGAUCGACGUAAUGAUUAAUAGGGAUAGUUGGGGGCAUUAGUAUUCAAUUGUCAGAGGUGAAAUUCUUGGAUUUAUUGAAGACUAACUACUGCGAAAGCAUUUGCCAAGGAUGUUUUCAUUAAUCAAGAACGAAAGUUAGGGGAUCGAAGACGAUCAGAUACCGUCGUAGUCUUAACCAUAAACUAUGCCGACUAGGGAUCGGAUGAUGUUAAUUUUUUAAUGACUCAUUCGGCGCCUUA
Molecule: ribosomal RNA, 520 nt
Filed under: uncultured Glomus
Lineage: Eukaryota; Fungi; Glomeromycota; Glomeromycetes; Glomerales; Glomeraceae
Description: SSU rRNA
Rfam family: Eukaryotic small subunit ribosomal RNA
Source: RNAcentral